RNAcentral lists this ribosomal RNA (497 nucleotides) under uncultured bacterium. RNAcentral describes it as "partial 16S ribosomal RNA". It matches the Rfam family "Bacterial small subunit ribosomal RNA", at positions 28 to 507 of the family's 1533-position model. The record is from RNAcentral.
GAUGAACGCUGGCGGCGUGCCUAAUACAUGCAAGUCGAGCGAACAGACGAGGAGCUUGCUCCCCUGACGUUAGCGGCGGACGGGUGAGUAACACGUGGAUAACCUACCUAUAAGACUGGGAUAACUUCGGGAAACUGGAGCUAAUACCGGAUAAUAUAUUGAACCGCAUGGUUCAAUAGUGAAAGACGGUUUUGCUGUCACUUAUAGAUGGAUCCGCGCCGCAUUAGCUAGUUGGUAAGGUAACGGCUUACCAAGGCAACGAUGCGUAGCCGACCUGAGAGGGUGAUCGGCCACACUGGAACUGAGACACGGUCCAGACUCCUACGGGAGGCAGCAGUAGGGAAUCUUCCGCAAUGGGCGAAAGCCUGACGGAGCAACGCCGCGUGAGUGAUGAAGGUCUUCGGAUCGUAAAACUCUGUUAUUAGGGAAGAACAAAUGUGUAAGUAACUAUGCACGUCUUGACGGUACCUAAUCAGAAAGCCACGGCUAACUACGUG